Molecule: ribosomal RNA, 441 nt
Filed under: uncultured bacterium
Lineage: Bacteria
Description: partial 16S ribosomal RNA
Rfam family: Bacterial small subunit ribosomal RNA
Source: RNAcentral
CCUACGGGUGGCAGCAGUCGGGAAUAUUGCGCAAUGGGGGCAACUCUGACGCAGUGACGCCGCGUGCAGGAAGAAGGUUUUCGGAUUGUAAACUGCUUUAGACAGGGAAGAAACCCCCCAGUACCUGUAGAUUAAGCUCCGGCUAACUACGUGCCAGCAGCCGCGGUAAUCCGUAGGGAGCCAGCGUUAUCCGGAUUUAUUGGGUGUAAAGGGUGCGUAGGCGGGGAAGCAAGUUAGUUGUGAAAUCCCUGGGCUUAACUGAGGAACUGCAACUAAAACUACUUCCCUUGAGUACUGGAGAGGAAAGUGGAAUUCCUAGUGUAGCGGUGAAAUGCGUAGAUAUUAGGAGGAACACCAGUGGCGAAGGCGACUUUCUGGACAGUAACUGACGUUGAGGCACGAAAGUGUGGGGAGCAAACAGGAUUAGAUACCCUUGUAGUC